This is a long non-coding RNA of Oreochromis aureus, 1306 nucleotides long. The record is from Ensembl. NCBI's taxonomy places the organism in Eukaryota, Metazoa, Chordata, Actinopteri, Cichliformes, Cichlidae.
AUUUUUUUGACAGUAACUAUGAACAAAUCAUGUUAUUUUGGUUUACUUUGCCUAAUAGUCAUUGUCUAAGUUGACCUUAUAUGUAAACAUUAUAUGUAAACAUGAUAGCGACCAGUCAGUUAGCUGACUGGCUUUUACCAGCUGAUUUCAACAUGUAUUUCAACAAUAUAUCAACUUUUUUUUUUUUAAACUAAUAGGACUUUCUGCAAAGUUUGGAUGCAUUCACCGGAGCGAACGGAUGACUGAAAAAAACAAAAACCACUGUCUGACAAGACUGCAGCUUUGCGUUUCUGCCACAGCUCUCAUUUACGUUUCAGCAUGGGAGACUUGACUGAAUUCCUGAAACAAAGAGAAGUCUCUGAGGAAAUUAUACAGACCUUGGAGAAUGAGAAGAUUGAUGCCAGUGUCAUAAGUCUAAUGACAGAUGAGGAGCUGAAGACUUAUUUGCCAUCAUAUGGUGAUCGUCUAGCAGUAUUUGGAUUUUGCAGACGGAGGGGCAGCAGCCGCAAGUCAGCGCUUUUUGAACGGCUGAAAUCCAAAGCGUCCAAAAGAAAAUUAUCUGAAGAGGAUGGCAGUAGCACACGGCAAGAAGAACAUUCCCAAACAACCCAUAAAAGAAAUGCUCUGAAGAGAAAUAGAAAAAUAGAAAUAGGAUGGAUGCAUUAUGAUGAAGACACUGAGGUUUUCAAGCAGGUUAGAGCUAGACGAGGAGGAGGAACAAGAAAAAUAGACAUUUGCAAGGAUGCCAAGAAAAGGGACAUAUUACAGGUUGCAACAGGCCUGUUCUUUCCAGAUGGAGGAAACAUUCAGGGGCCCUUAACAGAUUUUGACUGUGAUCUGAAGGAUUAUCAAGAGAUGAUAGUCGAUGAUGCAUUGACAGUAGGAGAACUUUAUCAUGUCACAAAACUAAAUAUCCGCAGGUUCUACCUCACCACAAAGAAAAAACAAAAUGACAGCCUUCAGAGUUCCAGCCCGAGUUUGCAUCCAUCUUCAGAAAUUGAAGAGAGUCCUCAAAACCAAACCUCUUCUUUUACUGUCACUACAGUCCAAACAUCUGCUCCAUUUGAAACGGUCAGCCAUGAUGUGACAUACAUUGAAGACACUCCAAACGAUAACCUUCCACAAUCUUCCACGCAGUCUCUAAGUGCUAACACUUCUCACAGCAGUGACAUUAUUUUUGUUGGCCCCUUUUCUGACAGUGAGCCAAUAAAUUUGGAUGACACCCUGAUUUUUUCUCCACACCCUGGUCCAUCCAGUGAGAGAGUGAGGAGAGUAGUGGUGGUCCACAGAGGGCAGGUAAUGUCAG